GAGCAUAUCAAUAAGCGGAGAGAAAUAUCAAUAAGCGGAGGAGCUUCAUAAGCGGAGGAACAGAAAAUAAGCGGAGGAACAUAUCAAUAAGCGGAGGAACAUAUCAAUAAACGGAGGAACAUAUCAACGGCGGAGGAAUGAACCACGAAUCCCAGAGACAUGAUGCGCAGUUCCCCGUUGCCGGGCCGUGACAAGUCAUUGUGGAAAUCCUUCCGUUCUUCUGUUCCCGCCCCGCCUCCUUCUAUGGGGUGUGCCCCCGUGAGGGACAGGAUACCGGUUCUGUGCGCCUUGUUUCCACGGGUGCUCCCUCGGUACCGCCUUACUUUUCCUUUAGCCGGCUUGGGUGGACGAGCAGGAGAUGCCUGACGUGCGAUUGGGCGGGAGGCCCUAGUUGCCUUUUCCUCAUAAAAGCUCUGGAUACCUCUACUUUUUUUUUUUUUUUUUUUUGGUAUGGGUAGGAACAUCUAUAUAAGGAGGGGAAAAUCGAAGAAAUUUGUGAUAUUGGUUGCCCCUUCGCGUCGGAUUUAUCUAUGGAGGUAGUUCGUGAUUUCCUUUGCGUUUUUUCUAUAUCUCCGAAGAACAUUUCAAUAAGCCGAAGAAAACCCGAGGAUAUAGGACUAUUGUUUUUUACGGCUGCUCAUAUCGA
Molecule: unclassified non-coding RNA, 646 nt
Filed under: Physcia stellaris
Lineage: Eukaryota; Fungi; Ascomycota; Lecanoromycetes; Caliciales; Physciaceae
Description: sequence contains 18S rRNA gene, ITS1, 5.8S rRNA gene, ITS2 and 28S rRNA gene
Source: RNAcentral